CGCUCCCCCAAAGAAUGGGUCAAAUGUGGACAACAAAUUAAACAAAAACUAACAGGAUUUUAGCUUUUAACUUUAGCUGAAAUCUCCUUUUCAAAGGGACCAAUGGGACCGAUUGGGCUUAAAGGGGAUCAAGGUCCAACGGGAGUCCCUGGGGAUCCUGCCAAGGGCAUAAUCGGUCCAAUUGGAAAAAAGGGGGCCAGGGGAGACAUCGGUCCGGUUGGGCUUACAGGACCUCAGGGAGAAAAAGGAGUGAAAGGAGACAAAGGAGAAAAGGUUAAUAGUUGGAAAAUAUACACUUUUGUGUUUUACAUGUGAAAAUACAACAAAUUAACUUGAGUUGGGUUAUUUUAGAGAGUUCUUUUUUUAUGUGUUUAGGGAAGUCCUGGUUUUGGGAUUCCAGGUCAGCAGGGGCCCAAAGGAGAAAGUGGAGAGAGGGUAGGUCAAUGAUCCCCAUAAAGACACAUUCUGAGGAAAAUUGUGUUUUUUAACUUGUUCUUGUAGCAAAUUAGGCUUGAAAUUGCCUUU
Molecule: long non-coding RNA, 525 nt
Filed under: Oryzias javanicus (javanese ricefish)
Lineage: Eukaryota; Metazoa; Chordata; Actinopteri; Beloniformes; Adrianichthyidae
Description: lncRNA (ENSOJAG00000016803.1)
Source: RNAcentral